Long non-coding RNA from Octopus bimaculoides (California two-spot octopus), 1146 nucleotides. Lineage: Eukaryota; Metazoa; Mollusca; Cephalopoda; Octopoda; Octopodidae. The record is from RefSeq and is a predicted model, not a curated record.
CAUUACAGAGGAGUUUAAAACUGGCUGUCCAUGGGAAUUCCUGUAGUUCUCAUAGCUAAAUCUAUAGUGGAAUUAGAAAGGUAAUUCCAGGCAUGGAAACUAAACCUCAACCCAUAAGUCUUCAAGGUAAAGUUUGCUAAGUAUGACAGAAAUGUUUGUGAUUAGGACAGAAGACAGGACACUGGCACCAUCACGAAAGUGGUCCUGCUUGAUAUCCGGAAAGAGUAUAGGUAUGAAGUCCAGAUGCUGUACUAAGGACAGAGAAAGGGUGUAGCGGAAUCACAGAUUGACCAACAGAGAAAGUAAGGUUUGAAUGUGAAAGAUGCGCUGAAGCAAUAAGUACAACGAGCACACUGGAAAUAGAUUCUCUUAAGUGGAGAAUAAGAAUACUCUCUCUCUCUCUCUCUCUCUCUCCCCACACAUGAUUUCUUUCAGAAGGUGAUUGUUAGGAUGCCAUUCAAAAUGCUUUGUUGCAUUUCUUUUGACUCUUUACAGUCUAAGUUCAAAUUCCACAGAUGUGUGAAGCUAUUAAUUACCAUUUCCAUUUUCCCCUCCCAUUUCCCUACAGAAAGUAUUGUUUCUUCAAUUAUUAACAUUCUAUCCUUGUAUUUUCCAGGUGUUUUGUAAAAUUGAAAAUGGCAAAUGGUAUGAUAAAUGCACAAAUUACUAUAAUCAAGCAACGAUUGAGAGUGUCCAAGAAGUUGUUGGAGAUGAAUUGAUAGUGAAAAUAACUUGUGAUGGAACUUCAAUGAUAACAAAAUUCAAAAAGCAAUCAAGAUGAACAAGAAAAUGAAGUUGGAAAAAAUUCACUUGUGAAUGUCAACAUAACAAUACUAAUACUAAUAGAAAUAAUAAUAAUAAUAAUAAUAAUAAUAAUAAUAAUAAUAAUAAUAAUAAUUAUAGGUAUUCUUAACUAGAAGGUUGUGUAAAUUAACCCAAAUAUUUUGCUGAUACAUAUUGUAAUAAUCCAAAAAACUGGACGACAAAAACACAUUUGGCUGGAUUUAAAUUGGAAAGAGAAUAAUUGAAUUAAAUACUGUAAAACUAUUUUGUUAGCUGUUCUGUUGAUUCUAACAGCAACAAUAACUAUUUUAAUAUUAACAUCAAGUCUUCUUAAAUAAAGAAAAACAAUUAAAUUGUUGAUUA